This 497-nucleotide ribosomal RNA is filed under the name uncultured bacterium. RNAcentral's name for it is "partial 16S ribosomal RNA". It matches the Rfam family "Bacterial small subunit ribosomal RNA", at positions 28 to 507 of the family's 1533-position model. The record is from RNAcentral.
GACGAACGCUGGCGGCGUGCUUAACACAUGCAAGUCGAACGGUGAAGCGCCUUCCUUUUUGGUGGGAGUGGAUGAGUGGCGAACGGGUGAGUAACACGUGAGUAACCUGCCCCCUUCUUCUGGAUAACCGGAUGAAAGUGUGGCUAAUACGGGAUAUUCUGGGUCUGUUGCAUGAUGGGUCUGGGAAAGAUUUUGUUUCGGUGGGGGAUGGGCUCGCGGCGUAUUAGCUUGUUGGUGGGGUGAUGGCCUACCAAGGCGGCGAUGGGUAGCCGGCCUGAGAGGGGGGUGGGCCGCCCUACAAGGGCGGCGACGCGCCGCAGCCUCCGGGGGGCAGCAGUAGGGAAGAAUCCGGCACAGGGGAAGCCAUGCUGGUGCAGCGACGCGGCGUGAGGGAUGGACGCCGGAGGGUUGUGAACUGCUUUCGGCAGAGAAGAAGUCUGGACGUAUCUGUGCGUGGGUUGACGGUACCUGGUCAAAAAGCCCCGGCUAACUACGUG